RNAcentral lists this ribosomal RNA (481 nucleotides) under uncultured bacterium. Its description in RNAcentral is "partial 16S ribosomal RNA". It matches the Rfam family "Bacterial small subunit ribosomal RNA", at positions 28 to 507 of the family's 1533-position model. The record is from RNAcentral.
GAUGAACGCUGGCGGCGUGCUUAACACAUGCAAGUCGAACGAAACACCUUAUUUGAUUUUCUUCGGAACUGAAGAUUUGGUGAUUGAGUGGCGGACGGGUGAGUAACGCGUGGGUAACCUGCCCUUUACAGGGGGAUAACAGUCAGAAAUGACUGCUAAUACCGCAUAAGACUACAGCACCGCAUGGAGCAGGGGUAAAAACUCCGGUGGUACAGAAUGGACCCGCGUCUGCUUAGCUGGUUGGUGAGGUAACGGCUCACCAAGGCGACGAUCAGUAGCCGGCUUGAGAGAGUGAACGGCCACAUUGGGAGUGAGACACGUCCCAAACUCCUACAGGAGGCAGCAGUGGGGGAUAUUGCACAAUGGGGGAAGCCCUGAUGCAGCGACGCCGCGUGAGUGAAUAAGUAUUUCGGUAUGUAAAGCGCUAUCAGCAGGGAUGAAAAUGACGGUACCUGACUAAGAAGCCCCGGCUAACUACGUG